UUGGCUCAGGAUGAACGCUGGCGGCAGGCUUAACACAUGCAAGUCGAGCGAAGCUUCUUCCAUGAUUUCUUCGGAUUGAAUGGAAGGAUGACUGAGCGGCGGACGGGUGAGUAACGCGUGGGGAACCUGCCUUAUACCGGGGGAUAACAGUUAGAAAUGGCUGCUAAUACCGCAUAAGCGCACGGCACCGCAUGGUGCUGUGUGAAAAACUCCGGUGGUAUAAGAUGGACCCGCGUUGGAUUAGCCAGUUGGCGGGGUAACGGCCCACCAAAGCGACGAUCCAUAGCCGGCCUGAGAGGGCGACCGGCCACAUUGGGACUGAGACACGGCCCAGACCCCUACGGGAGGCAGCAGUGGGGAAUA
RNAcentral lists this ribosomal RNA (363 nucleotides) under uncultured rumen bacterium clone 27. Its description in RNAcentral is "bacterial SSU rRNA". It matches the Rfam family "Bacterial small subunit ribosomal RNA", at positions 19 to 363 of the family's 1533-position model. The record is from RNAcentral.